This is a long non-coding RNA of Ailuropoda melanoleuca (giant panda), 1878 nucleotides long. RefSeq lists it as uncharacterized. Lineage: Eukaryota; Metazoa; Chordata; Mammalia; Carnivora; Ursidae. The transcript has 3 exons. The record is from RefSeq and is a predicted model, not a curated record.
CUGAGGCUCUGAAAGCCAAGGAACCCGGGGAGCUGGCAUGGCUGGGUGGCCUCUCUGAUCUGGUCCACACCCCCUUCCCCAGCCAUCUGGGCUGAGCCUACUCUGGCCUGGGCCACACUCUGGGACCUCUCCCCUUCAAUGCACACAGCCACCUUUAUCCAAAGCUUAUAGAUCUUAAAACCACAUGGUCUACACACACACACACACACACACACACACACACACACACACAGGGCGGCGGCGGGUUGGGGGGUGUCUUUGCAAAAGGUGCUGAGGUGUUGGCAGGGAUGGGGGCUCUAAGCUGAAAGAACUUUCCCUAGAGGAACAGGUCACCCAAAACCACUCCCAACCUCCACCACCCUCCAGCAAAGCCUUUAGCCACCCAAGUGUGAGAGGCGCCUGGAAAGGGGCAUUAGUUCCCCUCCAAGGUGAGUAGGGAGCGGGGGGUGGGGUGGGGUGGGUGGGUACCGAAGUCCCGAGCUCUUGGGGCUGGGAGGCCAGGAGGAAGCAAGAGAGAAAUCCUCCGGGGAGCUCAGGUCCCUCUCCCGCUCCCUCCGCGAUCGCCCCGGCACUGCCAAUUCUCUGGUCGAGGUGAGGUGGGGGAAGGGGCAUUAAGCAAUACUGCAAAGGAGGGUGCAAGGGCGUGGGGCCUGGGCAGACCUUCCCCCCACUUUCCAUUCUUAGCCUGAGAUCGGGCAGUGCCUGGGGCGAGUGCAGGAAGGGCGCUGCAGGGCGCGGGGGCUCCGAGCUUUCAGACACCCCACUGUUCCCAGGCCCCCACCUCCCAGGACCACAGUGAGCAGUGGGGGAGGAGGGAUGGGGAAAGCCUGAACUGGCGAAAGGGAAACGACCAGAUGAGCAGCGGGGACGCCAGGCGGAAGGCGGCCGAGGGGGAAUUGGGAAGGGGUGUGCGCGGUCCUACCUGCUCAGGGGCCCGCUCCACCUCCAUGCAGAAACACCAGUAACGUGUAGCUCCCAAUGAGAAUGGCCCAGAGAUGGAGGGAAAGGCAGCACCUUUCUCGGUUCAUUCAACAAUCGUUUACUGAAUACCUACCAGGUCCCGGACCCUGUCCUAAGUGCUGCGGACAGACACAAAUCUUCAUCUGCUUCUUUGAAGAAAAAUAAAUCAGGAUAUAGACACACAGCCUACCACCUUCAAGAGGAAGAAUGUGGGUCAGCAUCUUUGCCUCUACUCCAUGUGAAACAGGUUACGAUCCUGGCAGAAACUAGUAACCACAAGCCCAGCCCAGCCCUCUAAAAAUCCCACUACCUUCCCAUAGCUCUCAGCUUCAGUGGGAAAAGCCAGCAAGGAAAGGACUUUUCUUCCUCUUCUCGGUCUGCGCCCCGGCUGUCUGAAUUACACUUAAGACUCUACUGACAAACAUACAUCAGCUUUUGCUCCCACAAGGGCAGCGGAAGCCAAGCAGGGACUCUAAGUCGGCUUCACGCAUCAUUGACAGAACCAACCCUGUUCCAAUUGCUGAAGUCUUAAGAGCAGCAAUGACCUAGAAAUUGACAGUGGGGGGAGAACUGAGGGAAAGGAAACUAACAACCCAAUACAGAGAAAAACCUAUUUCCAAAUACCAGGGGAAAGGGAGAGAAAAGAGGUAGAGGGGAAAGAAAUUUGGCCCUUUUGAAUCUGCAAAUGCGAUCUUGGCUCCGAGCCAUGGAGGAUACAUAGCAGCCCCACUGCGAGUCAAGCCAUGUUCCUGACUCAAGCCCUACAGUUAAGAGGAAGGCGCCAAGCCUCAAACACAACGAGGUGGGGAGGCCGCUCCUUUCUGGGCAGGAUCCUACUGUGGACACAGAACAGACAGCAGCUGCCCACAGUGUGGAAACAAACUGUAAAGCAGUCACGUCUCUUAAGGCUGCAGCAUC